RNAcentral lists this ribosomal RNA (465 nucleotides) under Vreelandella stevensii. Its description in RNAcentral is "partial 16S ribosomal RNA". It matches the Rfam family "Bacterial small subunit ribosomal RNA", at positions 338 to 795 of the family's 1533-position model. Lineage: Bacteria; Pseudomonadati; Pseudomonadota; Gammaproteobacteria; Oceanospirillales; Halomonadaceae. The record is from RNAcentral.
CCUACGGGUGGCAGCAGUGGGGAAUAUUGGACAAUGGGGGCAACCCUGAUCCAGCCAUGCCGCGGGUGUGAAGAAGGCCCUCGGGUUGUAAAGCACUUUCAGUGAGGAAGAACGCCUGGUGGUUAAUACCCAUCAGGAAAGACAUCACUCACAGAAGAAGCACCGGCUAACUCCGUGCCAGCAGCCGCGGUAAUACGGAGGGUGCGAGCGUUAAUCGGAAUUACUGGGCGUAAAGCGCGCGUAGGUGGCUUGAUAAGCCGGUUGUGAAAGCCCCGGGCUCAACCUGGGAACGGCAUCCGGAACUGUCAAGCUAGAGUGCAGGAGAGGAAGGUAGAAUUCCCGGUGUAGCGGUGAAAUGCGUAGAGAUCGGGAGGAAUACCAGUGGCGAAGGCGGCCUUCUGGACUGACACUGACACUGAGGUGCGAAAGCGUGGGUAGCAAACAGGAUUAGAUACCCUGGUAGUC